AGCGCAUCUAUAAGAUGUUGAAUGAAGAAGAGGACAUGGAGGGCUCAGAGUAAAAGUAGAGGAAACAGCGAGGGCAGCCACAAAAAACACGUAGUUGUCGUACGUAUGAAGAAUUGGAUGAGAAAAAAACG
This is a non-coding RNA of Caenorhabditis elegans, 131 nucleotides long. The record is from Ensembl. Lineage: Eukaryota; Metazoa; Nematoda; Chromadorea; Rhabditida; Rhabditidae.